UCAUAACACAUCAAUUGCUUGAGAACAAGAUGUACUGGCUUGCAUUAGUCAUACUCCAGAUCUGUACAUAAAAGAAAUUAGAAUAGGAGGCUUAAGAGACAUUCUGCUCUUGUUUGACUCAGCAGCAAGAUAAGCACACAGAAAAGUGCCUGCAAAUGUCAGAUCUAGAACUAUGCAACUAAAAGCAUUUUUUGAUGUUUUAAUUCAAAAACAUUGAAGAGGGGAACAUUGAAGAGGGAAAGUCAGAAAGUCAGAAAGUGAUCAUAAUACGUACAUCAGUGUUGAAGGAAAGGUUCUGCUGAUGAGGAUACCAGCUAGAAAACCACUGAGAUAUACAAAGAACAAGCAUGAUGUGUCUAUUGGAGGAACGGCUCAUUAUUUGUGAAUUUAUACGACUGUCAUAAUAUGUGGUUGUCACAUGGCUUUUUAAAAGUUCUAGUUAAGUUUGUUUUAACUUGUUCCAAAUUCUGCACUGUGUGUUUCAAUAAACCAUUGUCCUCAA
This is a long non-coding RNA of Anolis carolinensis (green anole), 502 nucleotides long. RefSeq lists it as uncharacterized. NCBI's taxonomy places the organism in Eukaryota, Metazoa, Chordata, Lepidosauria, Squamata, Anolidae. The transcript is spliced from 2 exons. The record is from RefSeq and is a predicted model, not a curated record.